AUGGGGUGCAGCAGGCGAGAAAACUUUGCAAUGUGCGAAAGCACGACAAGGUUAAUCCGAGUGGUUUCUGCUAAAGGAACCUUUUGUUAGUCCUAGAAACACUAACGAAUAAGGGGUGGGCAAGUUCUGGUGUCAGCCGCCGCGGUAAAACCAGCACCUCAAGUGGUCAGGAUGAUUAUUGGGCCUAAAGCAUCCGUAGCCUGCUCUGUAAGUUUUCGGUUAAAUCUGUACGCUCAACGUACAGGCUGCCGGGAAUACUGCAGGGCUAGGGAGUGGGAGAGGUAGACGGUACUCGGGAGGAAGUGGUAAAAUGCUUUGAUCUCUCGAUGACCACCUGUGGCGAAGGCGGUCUACCAGAACACGUUCGACGGUGAGGGAUGAAAGCUGGGGGAGCAAACCGGAUUAGAUACCCGGGUAGUCCCAGCUGUAAACUAUGCAAACUCAGUGAUGCAUUGGCUUGUGGCCAGUGCAGUGCCGCAGAGAAGUCGUUAAGUUUGCCGCCUGGGAAGUACGUACGCAAGUAUGAAACUUAAAGGAAUUGGCGGGGGAGCAC
Molecule: ribosomal RNA, 553 nt
Filed under: uncultured crenarchaeote
Lineage: Archaea; Thermoproteati; Thermoproteota
Description: bacterial SSU rRNA
Rfam family: Archaeal small subunit ribosomal RNA
Source: RNAcentral